GGGGAUUUAGCUCAGCGGCAUAAGCGCCUGCCUUGCAAGCAGGCAGUUCGUGAGUUCGAUCCCCG
Non-coding RNA from Cavia porcellus (domestic guinea pig), 65 nucleotides. The record is from Rfam. NCBI's taxonomy places the organism in Eukaryota, Metazoa, Chordata, Mammalia, Rodentia, Caviidae.